AACGAACGCUGGCGGCAUGCCUAACACAUGCAAGUCGAACGAGACCUCCGGGCCUAGUGGCGCACGGGUGCGUAACGCGUGGGAACCUGCCCUUAGGUUCGGAAUAACUCCCCGAAAGGGGUGCUAAUACCGGAUAAUGUCUUCGGACCAAAGAUUUAUCGCCUUUGGAUGGGCCCGCGUUGGAUUAGCUAGUUGGUAGGGUAAAAGCCUACCAAGGCGACGAUCCAUAGCUGGUCUGAGAGGAUGAUCAGCCACACUGGGACUGAGACACGGCCCAGACUCCUACGGGAGGCAGCAGUGGGGAAUAUUGGACAAUGGGCGAAAGCCUGAUCCAGCAAUGCCGCGUGAGUGAUGAAGGCCUUAGGGUUGUAAAGCUCUUUUACCCGGGAUGAUAAUGACAGUACCGGGAGAAUAAGCUCCGGCUAACUCCGUG
This 433-nucleotide ribosomal RNA is filed under the name uncultured bacterium. Its description in RNAcentral is "partial 16S ribosomal RNA". It matches the Rfam family "Bacterial small subunit ribosomal RNA", at positions 29 to 507 of the family's 1533-position model. The record is from RNAcentral.